This 425-nucleotide ribosomal RNA is filed under the name uncultured bacterium. Its description in RNAcentral is "bacterial SSU rRNA". It matches the Rfam family "Bacterial small subunit ribosomal RNA", at positions 354 to 776 of the family's 1533-position model. The record is from RNAcentral.
GUAAGGAAUAUUGGGCAAUGGGCGAAAGCCUGACCCAGCCAUGCCGCGUGCAGGAUGACGGCUCUAGUAGUUGUAAACUGCUUUUAUACGGGAAGAAACCCCUCUACGUGUAGAGGGCUGACGGUACCGUAAGAAUAAGGAUCGGCUAACUCCGUGCCAGCAGCCGCGGUAAUACGGAGGAUCCAAGCGUUAUCCGGAUUUAUUGGGUUUAAAGGGUGCGUAGGCGGAACGGUAAGUCAGUGGUGAAAGCCUGCAGCUUAACUGCAGAAUUGCCAUUGAUACUGCUGUCCUUGAGUGUAGUUGAAGUGGGCGGAAUGUGUCAUGUAGCGGUGAAAUGCAUAGAUAUGACACAGAACACCGAUUGCGAAGGCAGCUCACUAAACUAUUACUGACGCUAAGGCACGAAAGCGUGGGGAGCAAACAGG